UACAGAGGUCUCAAGCGUUGUUCUGAUUCAUUGGGCGUAAAGGGUGCGUAGGCGGCGUGGUAAGUCGGGUGUGAAAUCUCGGAGCUUAACUCCGAAACUGCAUUCGAUACUGCCGUGCUUGAGGACUGGAGAGGAGACUGGAAUUUACGGUGUAGCGGUGAAAUGCGUAGAUAUCGUAAGGAAGACCAGUGGCGAAGGCGGGUCUCUGGACAGUUCCUGACGCUGAGGCACGAAGGCCAGGGGAGCAAACGGG
RNAcentral lists this ribosomal RNA (253 nucleotides) under uncultured bacterium. RNAcentral's name for it is "partial 16S ribosomal RNA". It matches the Rfam family "Bacterial small subunit ribosomal RNA", at positions 524 to 776 of the family's 1533-position model. The record is from RNAcentral.